This 484-nucleotide ribosomal RNA is filed under the name uncultured bacterium. RNAcentral's name for it is "partial 16S ribosomal RNA". It matches the Rfam family "Bacterial small subunit ribosomal RNA", at positions 30 to 507 of the family's 1533-position model. The record is from RNAcentral.
AUUGAACGCUGGCGGCAGGCCUAACACAUGCAAGUCGAGCGGAUGAAGGGAGCUUGCUCCUGGAUUCAGCGGCGGACGGGUGAGUAAUGCCUAGGAAUCUGCCUGGUAGUGGGGGAUAACGUCCGGAAACGGGCGCUAAUACCGCAUACGUCCUGAGGGAGAAAGUGGGGGAUCUUCGGACCUCACGCUAUCAGAUGAGCCUAGGUCGGAUUAGCUAGUUGGUGGGGUAAAGGCCUACCAAGGCGACGAUCCGUAACUGGUCUGAGAGGAUGAUCAGUCAGAAGGGAAUGGAGAACGGGUGCAGAACCCUAGGGGAGGCAGUGUGGGGGAUGUUUGGAAGAUGGUCGAAUGCUGAAUCCAGACAUGCCGGGGGUAUGAAGAGGAUGUUCAUAUUUUGAAGCAUUUAAGUUAGGAAGGAAGGAAAGUAAGUUAAUACUUUGCUGUUUAGCCGUGACCAGCAAAAAAGACGACGACAAGUUUGAUG